AUUGAACGCUGGCGGCAGGCCUAACACAUGCAAGUCGAGCGGAGCGGCGGACGGGUGAGUAAUGCCUAGGAAUCUGCCUCGUGUUGGGGGAUAACGUCCGGAAACGGGCGCUAAUACCGCAAACUAUCAGAAGAGCCUAGGUCGGAUUAGCUAGUUGGUGGGUGAAAGGCCUACCAAGGCGACGAUCCGUAACUGGUCUGAGAGGCAGAUCAGUCACACUGGAACUGAGACACGGGCCAGACUCCUACGGGAGGCAGCAGGUGGGAAUAUUGGACAAUGGGGGAAAGCCUGAUCCAGCCAUGCCGCGUGAGUGAAGAAGGUCUGCUGAUUGUAAAGCACUGUAAGUUGGGAGGCGUUACCAACAGAAUAAGCACCGGCUAACUUCGUGCCAGCAGCCGCGGUAAUUC
Molecule: ribosomal RNA, 407 nt
Filed under: uncultured bacterium
Lineage: Bacteria
Description: partial 16S ribosomal RNA
Rfam family: Bacterial small subunit ribosomal RNA
Source: RNAcentral